UGGCCCUGCACGGGGCAAGGGGUAGAGGGCACCAUAGAGGCUGCCCAGCUCCCCAGCCCCGACUCUGCCGGCAUCCCCAGUCUGAGCCGUCUCCUUCUCACCUCCCUACCCGCCCUCCUUGCUACUCCUCACUCGCUCACACCGGCUCCAGGGCCUUCUAAGGCAAGAUUAGCUUCUCAGACAACUUCUAAGGCUUGAUGACAGCACCCUGCUCUUUGCCCGACGCUAUCCCCUCUCAGCCCCCAAGAAUGGUGUCCUUCACCAGGAAUCAAGACCCAACUCUCCACCCUAAAACCCAGGACAGCCAGGAUCCAGCUCCCUUUCACAGGGAAAGGAGCCUGUGAUCUUCGUCGAGACAAAUUACAGGGUGUCAAAAAGCCUCCUCGACUCUGGUCCACGUAGCACCAUGGACCACGUGGCACAGUACGGACACGCAGCACAGGUGAGUCCC
Molecule: long non-coding RNA, 451 nt
Organism: Bos taurus (domestic cattle)
Lineage: Eukaryota; Metazoa; Chordata; Mammalia; Artiodactyla; Bovidae
Source: Ensembl